UAAUACAUCGGAACGUACCCUGUAGUGGGGGAUAACUAGUCGAAAGAUUAGCUAAUACCGCAUAUUCUCUGCGGAGGAAAGCGGGGGACCGCAAGGCCUCGCGCUAUAGGAGCGGCCGAUGUCCGAUUAGCUUGUUGGUGAGGUAAAGGCUCACCAAGGCUGCGAUCGGUAGCUGGUUUGAGAGAAUGAUCAGCCACACUGGGACUGAGACACGGCCCAG
RNAcentral lists this ribosomal RNA (220 nucleotides) under uncultured bacterium. RNAcentral describes it as "partial 16S ribosomal RNA". It matches the Rfam family "Bacterial small subunit ribosomal RNA", at positions 111 to 334 of the family's 1533-position model. The record is from RNAcentral.